Molecule: ribosomal RNA, 483 nt
Filed under: uncultured Glomeromycotina
Lineage: Eukaryota; Fungi; Glomeromycota
Description: SSU rRNA
Rfam family: Eukaryotic small subunit ribosomal RNA
Source: RNAcentral
CUUNUAAUUAAAGUUNGUUGCAGUUAAAAAGCUCGUAGUUGAAUUUCGGAAUCUGUCCGUUGGUCGGGCUUCACUGUCCGUACUGGUGUGAUGGGUUCUUACCUUCUGAAUAACCAGCAUGCCAUUCAUUUGGUGCGCUGGGGAAGCAGGCCUAUUACCUUGAAAAAAUUAGAGUGCUCAAAGCAGGCUAGUGCCUGAAUACAUUAGCAUGGAAUAAUAAAAUAGGACGGCAUGGUUCUAUUUUGUUGGUUUCUAGGAUCACCGUAAUGAUUAAUAGGGAUAGUUGGGGGCAUUAGUAUUCAAUUGUCAGAGGUGAAAUUCUUGGAUUUAUUGAAGACUAACUUCUGCGAAAGCAUUUGCCAAGGAUGUUUUCAUUAAUCAAGAACGAAAGUUAGGGGAUCGAAGACGAUCAGAUACCGUCGUAGUCUUAACCAUAAACUAUGCCGACUAGGGAUCGGACGAUGUUAAUUUUUUAAUGACUCG